RNAcentral lists this ribosomal RNA (439 nucleotides) under uncultured bacterium. RNAcentral's name for it is "partial 16S ribosomal RNA". It matches the Rfam family "Bacterial small subunit ribosomal RNA", at positions 338 to 795 of the family's 1533-position model. The record is from RNAcentral.
CCUACGGGAGGCAGCAGUGGGGAAUAUUGCACAAUGGGCGAAAGCCUGAUGCAGCAACGCCGCGUGAGCGAUGAAGGCCUUCGGGUCGUAAAGCUCUGUCCGCAAGGAAGAUAAUGACGGUUCCUGAGGAGCAAGCACCGGCUACCUACGUGCCAGCAGCCGCGGUAAUACGUAGGGGGCUAGCGUUAUGCGGAAUUACUGGGGGAAAAGGGUGCGGAGGUGGUUUCUUAAGUCAGAGGGGAAAGGCGACGGCCAAAGCGUAGUAAGCCUUUGAAACUGGGAAACUUGAGUGCAGGAGAGGAGAGUGGAAUUCCUGGUGUAGGGGUGAAAUGCGUAGAUAUUAGGAGGAACACCAGUGGCGAAGGCGGCUCUCUGGACUAUAACUGACGCUGAGGCACGAAAGCGUGGGGAGCAAACAGGAUUAGAUACCCUUGUAGUC